RNAcentral lists this ribosomal RNA (440 nucleotides) under uncultured bacterium. RNAcentral describes it as "partial 16S ribosomal RNA". It matches the Rfam family "Bacterial small subunit ribosomal RNA", at positions 338 to 795 of the family's 1533-position model. The record is from RNAcentral.
CCUACGGGAGGCAGCAGUGGGGAAUAUUGCACAAUGGGGGAAACCCUGAUGCAGCGACGCCGCGGGAGUGAAGAAGUACUUCGUUAUGUAAAGCUAUAUCAGCAGGGAAGAAAAUGACGGUACAUGAGUAAGAAGCCCCGGCUAACUACGUGCCAGCAGCCGCGGUAAUACGUAGGGGGCAAGCGUUAGCCGUAUUUACUGGGUGUAACGGGAGCGUAGACGGCAGUGCAAGUCUGGCGUGAAAGGCGGGGGCUCAACCCCCGGACUGCUCUGGAAACUGUACGGCUGGAGUGCAGGAGAGGUAAGUGGAAUUCCUAGUGUAGCGGUGAAAUGCGUAGAUAUUAGGAGGAACACCAGUGGCGAAGGCGGCUUACUGGACUGUAACUGACGUUGAGGCUCGAAAGCGUGGGGAGCAAACAGGAUUAGAUACCCCAGUAGUC